RNAcentral lists this transfer RNA (71 nucleotides) under Propionibacteriaceae bacterium. RNAcentral's name for it is "tRNA-Cys". It matches the Rfam family "tRNA". From Rfam's summary of the family: Transfer RNA (tRNA) molecules are approximately 80 nucleotides in length. Their secondary structure includes four short double-helical elements and three loops (D, anti-codon, and T loops). Lineage: Bacteria; Bacillati; Actinomycetota; Actinomycetes; Propionibacteriales; Propionibacteriaceae. The record is from RNAcentral.
GGCGGAGUGGCCGAGUGGUUAGGCAGCGGACUGCAAAUCCGUUUAGGUCGGUUCGAUUCCGGUCUCCGCCU